RNAcentral lists this ribosomal RNA (1114 nucleotides) under uncultured bacterium. Its description in RNAcentral is "bacterial SSU rRNA". It matches the Rfam family "Bacterial small subunit ribosomal RNA", at positions 17 to 1096 of the family's 1533-position model. The record is from RNAcentral.
UCCUGGCUCAGAUUGAACGCUGGCGGCAUGCCUUACACAUGCAAGUCGAACGGUAACAGGUUAAGCUGACGAGUGGCGAACGGGUGAGUAAUGUAUCGGAACGUGCCCAGUCGUGGGGGAUAACUGCUCGAAAGAGCAGCUAAUACCGCAUACGACCUGAGGGUGAAAGCGGGGGAUCGCAAGACCUCGCGCGAUUGGAGCGGCCGAUAUCAGAUUAGGUAGUUGGUGAGGUAAAGGCUCACCAAGCCGACGAUCUGUAGCUGGUCUGAGAGGACGACCAGCCACACUGGGACUGAGACACGGCCCAGACUCCUACGGGAGGCAGCAGUGGGGAAUUUUGGACAAUGGGCGCAAGCCUGAUCCAGCCAUGCCGCGUGCGGGAAGAAGGCCUUCGGGUUGUAAACCGCUUUUGUCAGGGAAGAAAAGGUUCUGGCUAAUACCUGGGACUCAUGACGGUACCUGAAGAAUAAGCACCGGCUAACUACGUGCCAGCAGCCGCGGUAAUACGUAGGGUGCAAGCGUUAAUCGGAAUUACUGGGCGUAAAGCGUGCGCAGGCGGUUAUGCAAGACAGAGGUGAAAUCCCCGGGCUCAACCUGGGAACUGCCUUUGUGACUGCAUGGCUAGAGUACGGUAGAGGGGGAUGGAAUUCCGCGUGUAGCAGUGAAAUGCGUAGAUAUGCGGAGGAACACCGAUGGCGAAGGCAAUCCCCUGGACCUGUACUGACGCUCAUGCACGAAAGCGUGGGGAGCAACAGGAUUAGAUACCCUGGUAGUCCACGCCCUAAACGAUGUCAACUGGUUGUUGGGGAGGUUUUCUUCUCAGUUAACGUAGCUUACGCGUGAAGUUGACCGCCUUGGGGAGUACGCCGCAAGGUGAACUCAAGGUACUUGACGGGGAUCCCGCACAAGCGGUGGAUGAUGUUGUUUAGUCGAUGCACGCGAAAAGCCUAACCUACCUUGAACUUCUUGAUCUGACAAAAUUCUGAAGGUCUCGAAAGAAGUCGACAGGUUCGUCAUGCCUCUCAGUCAGGUCCGGUAGGUGCUAGUUCCGACAGGCUUACCUGCUUAGGUCCAGGACAUAUGACAUCCGGUAUCCUGAAACGUGUAAUCCAGA